RNAcentral lists this ribosomal RNA (330 nucleotides) under Clostridium sp. SC105. Its description in RNAcentral is "bacterial SSU rRNA". It matches the Rfam family "Bacterial small subunit ribosomal RNA", at positions 20 to 332 of the family's 1533-position model. The record is from RNAcentral. Lineage: Bacteria; Bacillati; Bacillota; Clostridia; Eubacteriales; Clostridiaceae.
UGGCUCAGGAACCGACGCUGGCGGCGUGCUUAACACAUGCAAGUCGAGCGAAGCGGCUGAAUUGAUUCUUCGGAUGAUUUUCAGUUGACUGAGCGGCGGACGGGUGAGUAACGCGUGGGUGACCUGCCCCAUACCGGGGGAUAACAGCUGGAAACGGCUGCUAAUACCGCAUAAGCGCACAGAGCUGCAUGGCUCGGUGUGAAAAACUCCGGUGGUAUGGGAUGGGCCCGCGUCUGAUUAGGCAGUUGGCGGGGUAACGGCCCACCAAACCGACGAUCAGUAGCCGGCCUGAGAGGGCGACCGGCCACAUUGGGGACUGAGACACGGCCC